This 305-nucleotide ribosomal RNA is filed under the name uncultured bacterium. Its description in RNAcentral is "bacterial SSU rRNA". It matches the Rfam family "Bacterial small subunit ribosomal RNA", at positions 331 to 652 of the family's 1533-position model. The record is from RNAcentral.
CCAGGCCUACGGGGGGCAGCAGUGGGGAAUAUUGGACAAUGGGGGAAACCCUGAUCCAGCGACGCCGCGUGAGUGAAGAAGUAUUUCGGUAUGUAAAGCUCUAUCAGCAGGGAAGAAAGAAAUGACGGUACCUGACUAAGAAGCCCCGGCUAACUACGUGCCAGCAGCCGCGGUAAUACGUAGGGGGCAAGCGUUAUCCGGAUUUACUGGGUGUAAAGGGAGCGUAGACGGCUGUGCAAGUCUGAAGUGAAAGCCCGUGGCUCAACCGCGGAACUGCUUUGGAAACUGUAUAGCUUGAGUACUGG